RNAcentral lists this ribosomal RNA (483 nucleotides) under uncultured bacterium. Its description in RNAcentral is "bacterial SSU rRNA". It matches the Rfam family "Bacterial small subunit ribosomal RNA", at positions 28 to 513 of the family's 1533-position model. The record is from RNAcentral.
GAUGAACGCUAGCGGCAGGCUUAACACAUGCAAGUCGAGGGGUAUAGUUCUUCGGAAUUAGAGACCGGCGCACGAGUGCGUAACGCGUAUGCAAUCUACCUUUCACAGAGGGAUAGCCCAGAGAAAUUUGGAUUAAUACCUCAUAGUAUAGCAGUUUCGCAUGAAACCACUAUUAAAGUCACAACGGUGAAAGAUGAGCAUGCGUCCCAUUAGCUAGUUGGUAAGGUAACGGCUUACCAAGGCAACGAUGGGUAGGGGUCCUGAGAGGGAGAUCCCCCACACUGGUACUGAGACACGGACCAGACUCCUACGGGAGGCAGCAGUGAGGAAUAUUGGACAAUGGGCGCAAGCCUGAUCCAGCCAUGCCGCGUGCAGGAUGACGGUCCUAUGGAUUGUAAACUGCUUUGUACAGGAAGAAACACUCCCUCGUGAGGGAGCUUGACGGUACUGUAAGAAUAAGGAUCGGNUAACUCCGUGCCAGCA